GGCAGCGCGGCCGCCGGCCCUGGCCCGGUGAGGGAGCCCGGCCUGGGCUGCUCGUAGGGAGCCGGACCCGCGGGCCCGAGCUGCCGCCUCUGCAGCCGCCUGGGUAGAGGGUCCGUCAGCAACAACGGGGUAGUCGUACCUUCCUGUCGGGGUACCUGUCGAGGCCGAGAUUUACCUGUACUUUCACUGCUUGGCAGUUUGAGCUGUGCUCAUCUCCAGACACUGAGGUUGGUGCUGAAGCAGCAGAGACUUUGCUGAUGGCAAAGACAGAAGGGAAGUGUUUAAGCAUCAGGGGGAACUUAAACAAGCAGCAGGAAGAAUUGAGAAGCCAAGACAUCCUUAAGCUGCUGGCUGCCUGUUUGGGGCACCUCUGGGCCAUUGCUCAUCUGUGAAAUUUUGGCAGUGGAAAGGGAAGCCAAUAAGGACUUGAAUGGAUGUCAUACAGCCUCAUCCCAUCUUUAGCGCAGAUCCAGAACCUCAGAGACACCUACAGAGAACAGGUGGGACAAGAGCCUGCAGUGGCAGGAAAAACAAAGAUUUUGUUUGCAGAAAUAAAGCAAAUUACGAAAUGGGUGGUUUGUUUGCUUUUCUUUAAAUGGUACUGGUAAAAAAAUCUAAAAUCAAGAGAAAGGCUCUCAAAUUCAAAAAUAUCAGAGGCUGGCCCACAGUUUAGGGAAAGAAUUAACUUAAGGUCAGCUGUGU
Motacilla alba alba is the source of this 702-nucleotide long non-coding RNA. RefSeq lists it as uncharacterized. Lineage: Eukaryota; Metazoa; Chordata; Aves; Passeriformes; Motacillidae. The transcript has 3 exons. The record is from RefSeq and is a predicted model, not a curated record.